AAGAGUUUAGGUUAGCAUUAUAGACCAAGGGCCUUCAAAGCCCUAAGCGGAAGUGAAAAUCUUCCAACUCUUA
This 73-nucleotide transfer RNA is filed under the name Cirripectes polyzona (barred blenny). Its description in RNAcentral is "tRNA-Trp". It matches the Rfam family "tRNA". From Rfam's summary of the family: Transfer RNA (tRNA) molecules are approximately 80 nucleotides in length. Their secondary structure includes four short double-helical elements and three loops (D, anti-codon, and T loops). The record is from RNAcentral. RNAcentral also lists the same sequence under 1 other name. Lineage: Eukaryota; Metazoa; Chordata; Actinopteri; Blenniiformes; Blenniidae.